Molecule: Y RNA, 111 nt
Filed under: Microcebus murinus (gray mouse lemur)
Lineage: Eukaryota; Metazoa; Chordata; Mammalia; Primates; Cheirogaleidae
Description: Y RNA (ENSMICG00000046868.1)
Rfam family: Y RNA
About the family: Y RNAs are components of the Ro ribonucleoprotein particle (Ro RNP), in association with Ro60 and La proteins. The Y RNAs and Ro60 and La proteins are well conserved, but the function of the Ro RNP is not known.
Source: Rfam by way of RNAcentral
GGCUGGUCCGAAGGUAGUGAGUUAUCUCACUUGAUUGUUCAGUCAGUUACAGAUUGAACUCCUUGUUCUACUACUUUCCCCCUUCUCACUACUGUACUUGACUAGUCUUGA